CUCGAUCUUUGUGCAAGCAUCUGAAUCGUCCUUUCAAGGCCCCGAACACUCGUUCAAUGGCACAUCUUGUUUUGCAAUGUCGACGAGUAUACAUGUAUUGAGGGGUAUUCUCGGCUGCAUCGACAAUUGGUAUGAGGAGUAUGGGCGCCAGGAUGAUGGAGACACAGACAGUGCCGACGAUAAAGCUAGACAGAAUAUAUGAAGUAAUUUCAAUUAUAAAAAAUGGAGGGAACUGUUGCACGCAGAAGCUGAGGGUGUUUAUAAUAUCGAUUAUUAUGUGUUCUUCUGAGAUGAGAAAGGGACUAUUAAUAAAGUGCAAUUACUAAAAAUAA
Molecule: long non-coding RNA, 332 nt
Organism: Diachasma alloeum
Lineage: Eukaryota; Metazoa; Arthropoda; Insecta; Hymenoptera; Braconidae
Exons: 2
Source: RefSeq, a predicted model, not a curated record